GGCCCAACAUGGCGGCGGACUCAGACUCAUCAGGAUCCGUUCUCUAUUUAGAUUAUUCAUCUUUAUUUUCCUUGUUCUUCAGAAGCUGUUAAACCCGUGCCUGUGCCUAGAACUCUGCCGUCUGUCGACCCAUCACUGCUCAGCGCCCAGCAGCAGGGCGGCGUUCAUCUCUCUCCAGAGGACUUCGCCAAGGCGCAGAAGUACUGUAAGUACGCGGGCAGCGCCCUGCAGUACGAGGAUGUGAGCACGGCCAUCCAGAACCUCCAGAAAGCCCUGAAGCUGCUCACCACCGGCAAAGAAUGAAGCCUUUGUCCUCGUCCAUGUCAUCUCUCCAUCCUUCUCUUUCCUUCUCUCUCUCUCCACAGCAGCAGCGUCACUCUAUCUGUCACUGAUCACACACUGACGCUGAGCUCGCCGUCAGACGCCAUGAUGGAAAUCAGGCUGGAACAAUGGCUGCCUGUGUCUGACGCUGAGCCGCCCUGACUGAACAACACCACGACUUUUGACUUCUUUUAAUCAUCAGAGCCCAAAACAACAUCAGAGCUGCACUACUGGCUAACACUGGCUCAUUAAACACACCAGAAACUAGAUCCUUAUGUCCUUACUGCAGAAAUCUCAGCUAAAGCUCCACCCUCUCACUGCUGUAGGAGACGUUCUUAGAUCCACGUGGAGGUAGAGAGGGGUCUCUGACUGUAGGAGACGUUCUUAGAUCCACGUGGAGGUAGAGAGGGGUCUCUGACUGUAGGAGACGUUCUUAGAUCCACGUGGAGGUAGAGAGGGGUCUCUGACUGUAGGAGACGUUCUUAGAUCCACGUGGAGGUAGAGAGGGGUCUCUGACUGUAGGAGACGUUCUUAGAUCCACGUGGAGGUAGAGAGGGUUAACUAAGGCUGUCUGCUCACAUAUCUAAAUCAAGGCGACUUUCACACAGACUGAUGUUGAAUCUUUAACAAGCAGUGAACUUUCUGAAUCUGACUGUUGAGCAUGUGACUUCAAAGACUUCUUCACUUUCUUUAUCCAGAACAAUCCAGAAGAAAAAUUCACCCAAACGAACUUUCUUCUUCUUCUGUUUUCUUCUUUUAGGCAAUCCUUCCUGUUCUUCAUCAUUAAUUUUUCUAUUAGAAUAUAGUUAACAUGGAGGGGAAUCAAUCAGAGCUUUUGUGGAGGUUUCAGCUGUUAAUAUCUGACUCUAGAGGACUUCAGUGUCUGCAGGUGUCUUAGCGGGGUUAGUGAUUCUUCCUCAUAUUUAACGCUGAACUUUCUUUGACUUUAUUUAGAGGAUUUGAAAGGUUUUCAGGACGUCUUUACUCAGAAUCGUUUAAUUCUAAAUGUUUGAAUAAAAUAUGUGGAAAGAA
Cheilinus undulatus (humphead wrasse) is the source of this 1353-nucleotide long non-coding RNA. RefSeq lists it as uncharacterized. Lineage: Eukaryota; Metazoa; Chordata; Actinopteri; Labriformes; Labridae. The record is from RefSeq and is a predicted model, not a curated record. The transcript has 2 exons.